GGGUUUGGGCUUGAGUAUAGGGUGAGGAUUGGAGUUUGGGUUGGAUUUGUGGUAUAACAAUUUUAGGGGAGAUUAUGCCAAUUUUUUAUUUUUUAUUUGUUACUUGACCACAUUUGUUUUUUUUUUUUUUUUUUGUAGGGAAUCAUCGAGACUUUGACGGCUAAAGUGGAGGAUUAGGACGCUAUUGAAACAUAUCCUCUGCCAAUACCACCACAAUAGGCUUGUAUUAGGAUUUUAUUAUUGUACUUUGUUAAUUUAUGUGUACAUUUUGAAUAUUAUAUAUAUUUAUUGGAUAAUUUGAUCACUAUUUUUCAUAUGUAAU
Molecule: long non-coding RNA, 322 nt
Filed under: Prunus persica (peach)
Lineage: Eukaryota; Viridiplantae; Streptophyta; Magnoliopsida; Rosales; Rosaceae
Description: long non-coding RNA (PPER_LNC000887)
Source: RNAcentral